This 1775-nucleotide long non-coding RNA is filed under the name Homo sapiens (human). RNAcentral's name for it is "HSALNT0055418". Lineage: Eukaryota; Metazoa; Chordata; Mammalia; Primates; Hominidae. The record is from RNAcentral.
CUGCAUUUGCAUCUGAGUAAAAAGAAAGAAUGGACUAAAACAGAGGAAGAAAAUCCAGAAAAGGAGGACUCCAAUCCAGAUUAAAGGAAUUUCCAAAAUGGUGGCUGAGACAAAACCUGGGGUUCAAGUCAUGUUACAGAGAUGGUGUUCCAGAUUAGUGCAGAAUAGUGGGCUCAAGAAGAAAUGCCUUCAAGAAAAGAUUGAAACCAACACACUACAAGUUUGACAUUGGAAAAGUUGAAUUGAAGAGUUGUUGGAAGGUUCUGAAGACCUCAAAUGGACUGAGCCACACUACCAGCAUCCAGCAUCCAUGGUUCUCCAGUCUGCAGAUGGCCUAUUAUGGGACUUUUCAGUCUUCAUAAUUAUAUGAGAGAAAGAAAAUGAAAAGGAUUUGUAAACUAUAAAUCUCUAAACAGAUGGGAGGAAAGGAAUUGAUGAAACAAUAAAUUUAUUGAUGAAACAAUAAAAAUAAACAUAAAGAACCAAAGGUAGGUUUGGACAUUCAUUAAUUUACUCUUGUAAUAUUUAUUGAGUAGCUUGUAUGUGGUAGGUACCAUACUCAGGGCGGGAGAUUAGUGAUGAACAAGACAGAUGAGCUCCCACAACUCACCACAUCUUGCUGCCAGACAGGAGAGACAUAAGUUACACAUGUAAGCAAACAGUUAAUAUCCCUAUAAAAAGUGCUAUGGAGAAAAGAAGCAGGACACUAAGAGAGAAAGAAACAAGGAAAACCAACACAGUAAAUUUUUCUGGCUGAGGAAACUAAGCCUGGAGGGUGGGAUGGAGUUAGACCAGCAAAUAAAGGGGUAUGCAGGAAUGUCCAAAGCAAAAACAACUCAAGGAUGACAAGUGUGGCAAGAGCACUUAACAGAAACCUGUGAUAGCAGACAUGUAAGCUAUGAAAGGGGUUUGACUUUGAUUCUAAGUGCAAGGAAAGCCACUGAAGGCUUUUAAGCAGGAGAGUGACGGGAUUUAGAAUUAUGCUUUAGAAAAUUCAUUUUUACUCUUUGAUUGUGAGGGUCAAGAAUGGAAAGAGGAAGCUACUGCAGAGGACCAGGAGAGUGAUGAUGAUGGCUUAGAUUAAGGGACAGGCUUUUCUGUCUAGUUUUCUGUCUAGUAAAACUAGACAGAAACUAGAGCCUUCUUGCUUGUUCCCUGAUAAGAUAAGCAAUGCUAAUAAACUAAGUCUAAAUAGAACGUAUGCCUUUUCUUGCAUUUCAAUGUAUUUUAAUUUCUUUGUUAAUAACAAUUAACCACUUGUACAGAAGAGUCGAGGCAUUGAGGUGUAAGAGAACUAGAAAUAAUUCUCUCAUAAGCAGUAGAAAUAGUAGGAAUUAGGUUCAAGACACAUGUUGGAGGUGGAAUUAAGAGGAUUUGUUGAUAGAAUAAUAAUAAUUGGGAAGGAGAAAAAGGUAAUUCUAAGGUUUCUAGCUUGAGCAACUAGGAGGGGGAUUCUGCUAUUUACAGAAAUGGGGAAGCUGGAACAUGUUUCUAAGGGAAAUAAAAAUAUACCUUUAUGGCAUGUUAAAUUUUGACAUCCAAAUGAAACUAUCAACAACGCAGUUAGCUAGGCAAUCAAAGAAUGAGCUAAAGAAAUAUGAGAGUCAUGACAGUACAGAUUCAUUCUUCCAACUGCCCACUGGCCUAGAUUGGGUGAAAAGCCAUCAACCCAUGUCACUUUAGGCUGCCAAGCUUAGACAUGCCAUGCAUGAUUGGCCGAGUAAGUGGUUUUCUUUUCAGGCCAGGAUCAAGCCUUUUUCAUUUACUUUCAAAUG